Molecule: ribosomal RNA, 497 nt
Filed under: uncultured bacterium
Lineage: Bacteria
Description: partial 16S ribosomal RNA
Rfam family: Bacterial small subunit ribosomal RNA
Source: RNAcentral
GAUGAACGCUGGCGGCGUGCCUAAUACAUGCAAGUCGAGCGAACAGACGAGGAGCUUGCUCCUCUGACGUUAGCGGCGGACGGGUGAGUAACACGUGGAUAACCUACCUAUAAGACUAGGAUAACUUCGGGAAACCGGAGCUAAUACCGGAUAAUAUAUUGAACCGCAUGGUUCAAUAGUGAAAGACGGUUUUGCUGUCACUUAUAGAUGGAUCCGCGCCGCAUUAGCUAGUUGGUAAGGUAACGGCUUACCAAGGCGACGAUGCGUAGCCGACCUGAGAGGGUGAUCGGCCACACUGGAACUGAGACACGGUCCAGACUCCUACGGGAGGCAGCAGUAGGGAAUCUUCCGCAAUGGGCGAAAGCCUGACGGAGCAACGCCGCGUGAGUGAUGAAGGUCUUCGGAUCGUAAAACUCUGUUAUUAGGGAAGAACAAAUGUGUAAGUAACCAUGCACGUCUUGACGGUACCUAAUCAGAAAGCCACGGCUAACUACGUG